This 706-nucleotide long non-coding RNA is filed under the name Hordeum vulgare. RNAcentral describes it as "long non-coding RNA (HVUL_LNC005994)". The record is from RNAcentral. Lineage: Eukaryota; Viridiplantae; Streptophyta; Magnoliopsida; Poales; Poaceae.
UAGAAUUCGGUAGCUUCUGUUACUUGGCGUUGACAUCAGCAGCGGCGGAGAUAGGCCCCAGGCUGCCUGUGGGGCACGAACACUGAUUACUUUGUUGAUUGCAGCAACGGUGCAUGAAGUUGGCCGUGAGUGUGAAGGAAUCAUGGCGCCGCCACUGGGUACGGGUGGCGAUACGCGUUCGUGUCGUGCGUCGUACGUGGAUCGCUCUGUGGAGGUUGUUCCUGCAUGCAUGCCCGCCCGCCUAUGAUACAUGUGCGGGUACGAGUACGAGUGUGAGUGUGAGUGCUCGUACCGUUAUCAAUCUUUUUCUCUGGGAUGGCUUCUGUCUUGGGCCUCAAGAUGGCUACUCUUUCUUUCCUCCUCGAGUUGUACUUAGAACUUUGUGAAAGUCCGGUGCAUGUAUCCGUCGUUGAUUAUGCUGAACUUUGUGAACGACGAAUAUAUAUAUAGACUGCCGUUCGCAUUAAUAUAGCGCCGUAUCAUCUCGGUCCACUUUAUGCCAUGCAUGCAUCUCUCUCUUUGCUGCUCACAACAAACACAUGCAUGUCUCACAACAUCUCUUCUCUUUUCCUCUCAAAAUCCAUCCUUUUUAGUAUUUUUCUCAAAAUUUCAAUUGUUCAUAUCCUUAAAACCAAAACUCCUUUGUUCGAAGUGUUUACAUAUUAAUUUGAACUCAUCACAGCAAGGCCUUUAAGCAAGAUCAAUC